This 468-nucleotide ribosomal RNA is filed under the name uncultured bacterium. RNAcentral's name for it is "partial 16S ribosomal RNA". It matches the Rfam family "Bacterial small subunit ribosomal RNA", at positions 28 to 507 of the family's 1533-position model. The record is from RNAcentral.
GACGAACGCUGGCGGCGUGCUUAACACAUGCAAGUCGAACGGAAAGGCCCUGCUUUUGUGGGGUGCUCGAGUGGCGAACGGGUGAGUAACACGUGAGUAACCUGCCCUUGACUUUGGGAUAACUUCAGGAAACUGGGGCUAAUACCGGAUAGGAGCUCCUGCUGCAUGGUGGGGGUUGGAAAGUUUCGGCGGUUGGGGAUGGACUCGCGGCUUAUCAGCUUGUUGGUGGGGUAGUGGCUUACCAAGGCUUUGACGGGUAGCCGGCCUGAGAGGGUGACCGGCCACAUUGGGACUGAGAUACGGCCCAGACUCCUACGGGAGGCAGCAGUGGGGAAUAUGGCACAAUGGGCGGAAGCCUGAUGCAGCAACGCCGCGUGCGGGAUGACGGCCUGCGGGUUGUAAACCGCUUUCGCCUGUGACGAAGCGGGAGUGACGGUAAUGGGUAAAGAAGCACCGGCUAACUACGUG